AUACAUGCAGUCGAGCGAAUGGAUUAAGAGCUUGCUCUUAUGAAGUUAGCGGCGGACGGGUGAGUAACACGUGGGUAACCUGCCCAUAAGACUGGGAUAACUCCGGGAAACCGGGGCUAAUACCGGAUAACAUUUUGAACCGCAUGGUUCGAAAUUGAAAGGCGGCUUCGGCUGUCACUUAUGGAUGGACCCGCGUCGCAUUAGCUAGUUGGUGAGGUAACGGCUCACCAAGGCAACGAUGCGUAGCCGACCUGAGAGGGUGAUCGGCCACACUGGGACUGAGACACGGCCCAGACUCCUACGGGAGGCAGCAGUAGGGAAUCUUCCGCAAUGGACGAAAGUCUGACGGAGCAACGCCGCGUGAGUGAUGAAGGCUUUCGGGUCGUAAAACUCUGUUGUUAGGGAAGAACAAGUGCUAGUUGAAUAAGCUGGCACCUUGACGGUACCUAACCAGAAAGCCACGGCUAACUACGUGCCAGCAGCCGCGGUAAUACGUAGGUGGCAAGCGUUAUCCGGAAUUAUUGGGCGUAAAGCGCGCGCAGGUGGUUUCUUAAGUCUGAUGUGAAAGCCCACGGCUCAACCGUGGAGGGUCAUUGGAAACUGGGAGACUUGAGUGCAGAAGAGGAAAGUGGAAUUCCAUGUGUAGCGGUGAAAUGCGUAGAGAUAUGGAGGAACACCAGUGGCGAAGGCGACUUUCUGGUCUGUAACUGACACUGAGGCGCGAAAGCGUGGGGAGCAAACAGGAUUAGA
Molecule: ribosomal RNA, 750 nt
Filed under: Bacillus cereus
Lineage: Bacteria; Bacillati; Bacillota; Bacilli; Caryophanales; Bacillaceae
Description: bacterial SSU rRNA
Rfam family: Bacterial small subunit ribosomal RNA
Source: RNAcentral